CAAUAGCGUAUAUUAAAGUUGUUGCAGUUAAAAAGCUCGUAGUCGGAUUUCGGGUCGGGCCGAGCGGUCUGCCGAUGGGUAUGCACUGUUUGGCGCGGCCUUCUUUCCGGAGACCGCGGCUACUCUUAACUGAGCGGGCGUGGGAGACGGAUCGUUUACUUUGAAAAAUCAGAGUGUUUCUAGCAGGCAGCUCGCUCUUGCAUAGGUUAGCAUGGAAUAAUAAGAUAGGACCUCGGUGCUAUUUUGUUGGUUUGCGCACAGAGGUAAUGAUGAACAGGGACAGUUGGGGGUAUUUGUAUUUCGUUGUCAGAGGUGAAAUUCUUAGAUUUACGAAAGACAAACUACUGCGAAAGCAUUUACCAAGGAUGUUUUCAUUGAUCAAGAACGAAAGUAUGGGGAUCGAAGAUGAUCAGAUACCAU
This 420-nucleotide ribosomal RNA is filed under the name uncultured eukaryote. Its description in RNAcentral is "bacterial SSU rRNA". It matches the Rfam family "Eukaryotic small subunit ribosomal RNA", at positions 592 to 1018 of the family's 1831-position model. The record is from RNAcentral.